CAACUCACCUGCCGAAGCAACUAGCCNNGAAAAUGGAUGGCGCUCUAGCGUCGUGCCUAUACCGGGCCGUCAACGGCAAAGUGGGCAACUGCUGCAAAGCAAUUGCCGUUAUGCCUUGACGAGUAGGAGGGUCGCGGCGGUGUGCGCAGAAGGGUCAGGGCGUGAGCCCGCCUGGAGCCGCCGUCGGCGCAGAUCUUGGUGGUAGUAGCAAAUACUCUAGCGAGGGCCUGGAGGACUGACGUGGAGAAGGGUUUCUUGUGAACAGCCGUUGCACAAGAGUCAGUCGACCCUAAGCCCUAGGAGAAAUCCGAUGUUGAUGGGUGGCUAUACAAAAUACCACGUUCUGUUUGUUGCGAAAGCCACAAGUACUGCACACGCGUUCAGCCUAUCAGGCGAGGACAAAGCAGCCUUGGCGGCACUGCGUUUCAACCCGAGGAAAGGGCACAUGCUUUUCAACAGCCCGGCGCUUUCGUGCCUGUGGCUGUUCUUGCGUCUGUGCACUGACCAGGGUGUUGGACGAANUCGUGACAACUGCUCCUGUCGGGCAAAAGGGAAUCCGGUUCCUAUUCCGGAACCCGGCUGCGGAACCGUCACUCAGCGGGCACUCGCCUGCGAGCGCUCGUCGGGGUAACCCAAACUGGCCCGGAGACGCCGGCGGGGGGUCUGGAAAGAGUUUUCUUUUCUUUAUAAGCGUUCGAGUACCCUGGAAUCCUAUAGCAGGGAGAUAGGGUUUGGAACGCGAAGAGCACCGCAUUUGCGGCGGUGUCCGGACCUUCCCCCCGGACCUUGAAAAUCCGGGUGAGGGCUACGCGGAAGUCGCGCCGGAUCGUACCCAUAUCCGCAGCAGGUCUCCAAGGUUAAGAGCCUCUAGUCGAUAGAAUAAU
RNAcentral lists this ribosomal RNA (884 nucleotides) under Pintalia sp. 2 PCC-2008. Its description in RNAcentral is "eukaryotic LSU rRNA". It matches the Rfam family "Eukaryotic large subunit ribosomal RNA", at positions 1286 to 1899 of the family's 3401-position model. The record is from RNAcentral. Lineage: Eukaryota; Metazoa; Arthropoda; Insecta; Hemiptera; Cixiidae.